RNAcentral lists this ribosomal RNA (221 nucleotides) under uncultured bacterium. RNAcentral's name for it is "partial 16S ribosomal RNA". It matches the Rfam family "Bacterial small subunit ribosomal RNA", at positions 266 to 504 of the family's 1533-position model. The record is from RNAcentral.
CACCAAGUCGACGAUCAGUAGCCGGACUGAGAGGUUGACCAGCCACACUGGAACUGAGACACGGUCCAGACUCCUACGGGAGGCAGCAGUGGGGAAUAUUGCACAAUGGGGGAAACCCUGAUGCAGCAACGCCGCGUGAGUGAUGACGGCCUUCGGGUUGUAAAGCUCUGUCUUCAGGGACGAUAAUGACGGUACCUGAGGAGGAAGCCACGGCUAACUAC